CUGGGGAGGCUGGGGAGGCUGGCGUCACUCGAGUCCAGCCACCGUGGCCCUUCCAGCU
Molecule: microRNA precursor, 58 nt
Filed under: Echinops telfairi (small Madagascar hedgehog)
Lineage: Eukaryota; Metazoa; Chordata; Mammalia; Afrosoricida; Tenrecidae
Description: Ete-Novel-5_pre stem-loop
Source: RNAcentral